This is a long non-coding RNA of Aquila chrysaetos chrysaetos, 1731 nucleotides long. RefSeq lists it as uncharacterized. The record is from RefSeq and is a predicted model, not a curated record. The transcript is spliced from 2 exons. NCBI's taxonomy places the organism in Eukaryota, Metazoa, Chordata, Aves, Accipitriformes, Accipitridae.
ACAUAAGCAUCCUGGUACUAAGUAUCUCCUUUCCAGCAUGAGCUCUGGUUUGCAGAAAGCUGCUCAGGGUUUCACCUGUGCCACUGCUUCACAAAUGUGGUGGGUCAGUUUGUCCUUCAAGACUUUGCUUCAGUCCCUGGCCCUCCAGUGCCAGCUCUUGAUUAUAGUUUAUAGCAAGUUCCCAAAAUGUCACUUGAAGGAGUGUCAUGAAAAAGGUUUGUAAAUCUGUUGAGUGGUUUAUAACAAGAUUGGAAGUUUUCCUUUUUUUCGCUCAUGUUUUCUCAUUUCCUUUUUAAUCACCAAGAAUCCCUAAACAAUUGCAGAUAUUCGGCAUUGUUCUCAGAGUCAUUUUCUGUCCUUAUUAAAAUUUUGUCACAUAACUGAAGAGUUUAAUCCCCCAUAAUCAUAUAUCAUAUAGCUAGCUACUCCAUCUCCUCAACCUUUAGAGUGUUCUGUAAUUGGAUUCACCUGCAAUUGUUGUUCUCCCCUUGUGCAGCCUCAGCAGCCUGCAAGGAAGGGGAAUGGCCAGUCGAUGAAAAUACAGCAUUUGAAAAGGUGUGUGUAUGCUGCUAAUUGAAACCCGUCUCCUGGGCUCCAGCUGGUGGUGUUACAAACGGGAGGAGGGCUCCUUCAGCAUGUUUGAAUUUGAAAAGGUUUAACCUACCUCAGACACCAGAUGAAUUCUUUUAUAGCAUACGAUCCAUGGGAACACUUAAAAAUGAAUUUCCACAUGCCAGAACGCUCUUGCAGCAUAUUGAAAGGGACCGACUAAGGCACUGAUUAAAGAAAUCUGGAAAGCCCCGGGCACUCCCGCCACCCCAGCCUCGGCGCCGUGCAGAGGAGAGCUGCUUGGCUGCUCAAGCAAAUGGGUAUGACACUCUUGCGUUUUAUCAAACAAGAAGACGUACUAACCGUCCUUUAAAACGUAGCUAAUGAACCUUGGUGAUUUAAGCUUGGCUGUAUCUCUCUGCCCCCAUCAGCUGAAGGAAGGGUAGGCAGCUGCUUUCUGAAGUGGGCAGGGCUGGGGAGAUGCUCUGGGUGAGAUGAGGGACCGCUCUUCUCCCAACCGACUGAGCUUUGCUUGGCUUCUGGGGAUACGUCCCAGGGCUCCUUUGAGAACAACAUUUGGCGAUUCCUAUGUGCUUACAAGUAUACUUGCAUACUUACAAGCUGGUGACUAAAGGCUCCUUUAAAUAGCGAUGCAUGGAAACAAUUAAUUAGUUUUAUAUGUGUGUGUGUAGAUAUAUUUUACAGCUGUGAUAUAUAGGUUGUCUGUUUCUCUCGGGUAUAUAGCAUAAGAGCUAUUUCAAGCCUGAUGCAGAGACAGUUUUCAUGGUAAAUCAUAGUACUUGGUGUUAGGGGUCUAUAUAUAUUGCUAAACUGAUGUCCUCUGGAUCUCUGUCUAAACACUAGCAGCACAAAACAUCAAAGUUAUACCCCAAACAAAUGUCUGGUUACCAUUUCUAAAAACACAUUGAAACAUUCUGACUUCAGUUCCACAAAUAUUUCCCUCCUGAUCUGUACAUGAAGUGUUCUAGUGACUGUCUGGGAGUAAAACUCCAAAUAUUUAUACAUAGCCUAAAGCCCAGUAGUCACAUUUGGUGAAAUCACCUGCUUAACUGUGUGCUGGUUGUGGUUGCCAAUGUAAUUGGGAGAGAUGGUAAAAUACUUAAGUGCUUCCAGUGAGCUUUGCGUCAAAGUUAUAUUAUAAUAAAUUUGUCUUCAACAUUG